GCAGCCGCGGUAAUACGUAGGUCCCGAGCGUUGUCCGGAUUAUUGGGCGUAAAGCGAGCGCAGGCGGUUAGAUAAGUCUGAAGUUAAAGGCUGUGGCUUAACCAUAGUACGCUCUGGAAACUGUUUAACUUGAGUGCAAGAGGGGAGAGUGGAAUUCCAUGUGUAGCGGUGAAAUGCGUAGAUAUAUGGAGGAACACCGGUGGCGAAAGCGGCUCUCUGGCUUGUAACUGACGCUGAGGCUCGAAAGCGUGGGGAGCAAACAGGAUUAGAUACCCUGGUAGUCCACGCCGUAAACGAUGAGUGCUAGGUGUUAGACCCUUUUCCGGGGUUUAGUGCCGCAGCUAACGCAUUAAGCACUCCGCCUGGGGAGUACGACCGCAAGGUUGAAACUCAAAGGAAUUGACGGGGGCCCGCACAAGAAGGGC
Molecule: ribosomal RNA, 425 nt
Filed under: uncultured bacterium
Lineage: Bacteria
Description: bacterial SSU rRNA
Rfam family: Bacterial small subunit ribosomal RNA
Source: RNAcentral